This 396-nucleotide ribosomal RNA is filed under the name uncultured bacterium. RNAcentral's name for it is "bacterial SSU rRNA". It matches the Rfam family "Bacterial small subunit ribosomal RNA", at positions 30 to 427 of the family's 1533-position model. The record is from RNAcentral.
AUUGAACGCUGGCGGCAUGCCUUACACAUGCAAGUCGAACGGCAGCACGGGAGCAAUCCUGGUGGCGAGUGGCGAACGGGUGAGUAAUAUAUCGGAACGUGCCCAGUCGUGGGGAUAACGUAGCGAAAGCUACGCUAAUACCGCAUACGAUCUAUGGAUGAAAGCGGGGGAUCGCAAGACCUCGCGCGAUUGGAGCGGCCGAUAUCAGAUUAGGUAGUUGGUGAGGUAAAGGCUCACCAAGCCGACGAUCUGUAGCUGGUCUGAGAGGACGACCAGCCACACUGGGACUGAGACACGGCCCAGACUCCUACGGGAGGCAGCAGUGGGGAAUUUUGGACAAUGGGCGCAAGCCUGAUCCAGCAAUGCCGCGUGCAGGAUGAGGGCCUUCGGUUGGUU